Molecule: long non-coding RNA, 5383 nt
Organism: Equus caballus (horse)
Lineage: Eukaryota; Metazoa; Chordata; Mammalia; Perissodactyla; Equidae
Source: RefSeq, a predicted model, not a curated record
UCUCUCAAAAUAUCUUCUUCUUGUGAUGAUGUGAGAUGAUACAAUGCCUACGGUGCUGAGAUGAAGUGAGGUGAAUGACAUAGGCAUUGUGACAUAGCGUUAGUCUACCCUUGACCUACUGACGGUACAUCAGAAGGAGGAUCAUUGAGCUAUGAAGACGCUAAUGGUUGGAUGUCGGGAGCAGACAAUGCCUGUGGUUGACUAUAGGUAACUGAAACUGUGGAAAGUGAAACCAUAGGUAAGGCGGGACUGCUGUAUUUUGUCUUUGUCAGUGGUCAUGGGUUCUUUAACUGCAUCUGUUUGUUUAACAAAUGUCUCUAAUAGCUUACUGCCUUCCAGGUGUAAAACUAGGGACUGAUAUCCAUCAAUCAACAAGAUCAUCAUCGUCCCUGCCCUCAUAGAGCUCCACUCUGUCCUGUAUAUAACCCGAUGCUGGACUGCAAGACCAUACGAAAAUAUGGAGAAACUUGGGGAGUUUAUCCAUAGUCAGGGGUACUAGCAAAACAAAUUACUAUGUGAAAUUGUGGAAACUUUAUUUGAGAUCACUGAAGUUAGAGGACUGAGAAACACUUACCCCAGCUGGGUUACAGUCACCUUUCCUAGAAAAACAGAGAGUGGACAACCAUUUUAGAGCUUUUGAAAUUCGGGGUUUUUUUUUUUUUUUUUAAUCUACAGUUUACAUAAAACUCUUGAUUUGUUUUCAUACAUAAUGAUGACUCUGUUGGGCAAUUAUCUGGCUUGCUUUUUCUAGAAGUUGGAAUCGAUUUGCCCCAUCCCAUCCUCAUUCUUCUAGCUGGUUUCUUUGACACUGACACCUGUCAGACACUUGAUUCAGAAUUCCGAUGAGACUGAGCUUAGGGAACAUUGGAGGAAAAAAGGGAAGUUAGUUACCUGGUCCAUGUGGGCUUCGGCUUUAUGUAAAUAUGUAUAAAGUAAUACAAUCAGUUGGGAACAAUCUAGGUGAGCAUCCUGGGAGGCAGUAAGGAAAAAGGAAAGAAGCUGGGUUUUGGUGUCACACGGGCCACUUUUAUGUGAUCUUGAACUCUGGUUCUCAGUCCUCUCAGUCUGCGUAGUGAUAUCUAUCACAUAGUGCUGCUGUGAGGAUUAAAAUGAGAUAAUUUACGUGAUGUGCUGCAGGCCUGUGUGUCAAGGGCCUCAGCAUGCAGAAAAAUACCUGGAGAUGACUCCUGUGUGUCAAUCCUACCUAGAGUGUGUGUGACCUAAUCAACUCCAGUCUCUUCCAUGUUAGCACAGUCGAUAGUGGUCAGUCUGUUGUUGCACUAGUUAGGAUAGGUUAGUUAGGAUAGGUUAGGUGAUACUGCAGUAACAAGCAACCCUUAAAUCUCGGUGGCUUUCAAGGAAACUCAAAGGGUUUUUUUUUCUUUCUUUCGUUUUCACAUAAGCAAAGGCUACUGCACAUCUGUGUGACUCUUCAGGGAAGCCAUCCUCCUUCUGAUGGCUCAGCAAGACGCCUCCUGAUGGAAACAGGCUUCCGUGGUGCUGAGAAUCCCAGCAUGGAAGCAAGGGGACAAUGGCAAGGCGCACAGUUAACACUCACUUAUAGCCAGACUCUGCAGCAUCUGGGCAUGGCUGUGUGACAUUUAUUGUCAAGCAGGCAGUUCUCUUACAAGACCACCAACAUUCUUCAAACGUCAGUGACAUAAAACAGGAGGGGGGUUUAGAGCUCUGGAUUCUCUGUCUGGAAAUGUCACAAUUUAAUCGCGAAGGUUUGCUGUGAAGUUGUAAGCAUGAUGGUGUGAAACUUGACAGAUUAUUCUUGAAUUCUUUGUUUGUUUUUGUUGUGGCCUGACUCUCAUAAAAUUUAUUUUUUCUUUAAAACUCCCAGGAUGUGUGGACAUAUGAUUUAAGUGGAGAAAAAUAUUGUUAAAACAUUUAUCAAGGAGUUAUCACUUUUCCAUUGUUUUCAUUAAAUGAAAAGCCCUAAUAGUCAGAGAAUCUAAUACUAUAGAUUUUCUCUGCAUCUUAAAAAAAGUCAAUAAAUGUUCAUGCAAAGAGUUUGUUUUGAAAAUGUGUGCAACACCCACUGUGUUAAAAUCAUUUUAAUUGUGUGCGUGUGCCCCCCAACACACAUAUAGGAAAAAAAAAUCACAUAGUUAUUCUCCAAAAAGUUAAUACUAUAUAUCCCAGGAUGGUGAGAUUAAGUUUAAUUUUCUUUUUUUCUUUGUGCAUUUCUGUAAUUUUCCAAAUAUCCUAUAAUGGCCAAGUAUUUUUUAAAAACAAGAGCAUAUAUAUAACCAAUUGUAAAAAAUUUAUAUAGAUUUCUACAUUUGUAUAGAUUUCUACAUUUGUAUAGAUUUCUACAUUAUAAACUCCCAAUAGAAAUUUUUAAAAUGCCUUUUGGAGUUAUUGGUAUUGAGAAGAAAAUUGUAUAUUAUUUCCAUGUUUUGUGUUGCAUUUUAACAGAAAAUUUUUUUUUAUCGUGGUCAUAAUAGUUUGUAACAUUGUGAAAUUUCAAUUGUACGUUAUUACUUGUCAGACACCAUAUAAGUUAACACAAUUUUUAAUGUUAUUUUGAUUUCAUAUAGGAAAAUUGCAUUUUAAAUCAAAUACUUCAUAAUGGAGCUCACUUAUCUAGAGUUCAACACAUUUUAGAUUGAGGAUGAAAAAGGAGGCAGAGAAUAAGUCAAGAGGAGCUUGUAAAAUGAUGAAAACAAGGUAGGAAGGAAAAUUCUAAAUCUGGAGUUGAGUCUUUCUGGAGAAGAUUAAGAUUGUGGAGAGCUGCAUACAAUCCAAACAUGUGAUGACCAAGAAAAACCAUCAUUAUAUAAAUAGACAGUCUGGAAUCCCAGUUCCCCCCAUUUUUUUCUGGGAAAGUCUCAAUUUUUCUCCAAUGGCCACCCUCCCAUGUGCCCAAGUUGGUCUAAACUAUGUAUGAUGGUUUCAUUCCCUUCGUCACUGACUCUUUUAGGCAAUCUCUGCCAUUGGGAACUAAGGGGAAUUCUGCUGGGGGAAUUCUGGAGAGAUUUUUCCUUCCUUAUGAAAACUGAAUAAAAUAUUUAAAGCAACUAUUGAAAGGCAUAAAAGAACAACCAAGGCAGAUAAGACUUGAGUGGCUAAAAUCCUGGAGAGAGAGGAGACAUACAGAAAGAAGCCCCACAUUUGCCUCUACCUCUGUGAAUUAAUGGUGUGGAGAGUAAAGGUGGAGCAAAAAGUGAUAGCUGGGGACAGGAGAAAUCUCACUGGGCUGGAAAAAGUUGGGGUUUGGAGUUUCCAAAGAGGAUGAGCAGAUGGAGGUUGAAGUGUGGGUCCCAACAAGACUCAAGAGCCUUGGUACAGUUGAGACCCCAGACGACUCUACCAUGGGAGCAAGAACAAACCAUUAAAAGAUUAAGCCUAUCAAAGCUUAAGAUUCACCCUCAACCAGAUCAGGUUGAUCUGAAAACAUCCUAUCUGCCUUCCAGAAAAGAAUUAAAUCCUCUUUGGAUGAAAAUAUCAUCAACCAGAGCCUUACAAUUUUCCAUACAUAAUGUCUGACAUUCAGUAAAAAAUUUACCAAUAUAUGAAUAAAUAGGGUCAAGUGACAAAAACCAAAAGAAGAAACAGAUAAUAUACGUAGACCUAAAGGUGAUUGAGAUAUUGGAGAUAUCAGACAAGGAAUUAAAAGCAAUUCUGAUUAACGUGUUUAAGAAGAGAAAAUAGAAUAAAAGUGAAGAAUUUCAUCAGAAAAAUUAUAGGAAUCUUGAAGGGGGCAUGAGGUGCCAGUAAAUAUCUUGAUCUUUAUGAUGAUUAAUUGGGGGUUGUAAAAAUUCAUCAAUUCAAAUUCAUUAAAUUCACCAUUUAAGAUUUGUGUAUGUGUGUUAUACUUUUUAAGAAGUUGAGUAAUAAAAAAAUUCUAAGAGAAAGAGAGAAAGAAAAUGUUUAACUCUUCUUUGCUGGACAUUAUCAUACCUGUGAUCCUUCAAAUUAAUGAGCUUCUCUCAAUCAUGAGGGAAGACACUGUUGAUGUGAUGAAGACAGCAAGUAGAAAGCUGAAAUUACCUAGGUCCAGGGGGAUACAGCAAAUAUUUAAAACCAGCACACUCUAGGCACCAACCAACUGGAAUACAAUCAAUAAUGACUUAACUAUUUGGGAAUAGCCCUACUGCAAUAGUUAAGAGUAGGAUCCAGAGCUGGAUGGCUUGGGUUUAAAUCCUGGAUCUUCCACCUAAUAUUUGUAUAAUCUUUAGCAAAUUGUUAAACUCUCCAUACCUCAGCUGCCUCAUCUCAAGUUGGGGAUACAUCAUGAGGUUUGUAUAAAGGAGUAAAUGAGUUAAUACAUGUUAAGAAUGUAGAAUAAUACCUGGGACUUAGUCCUUAAUGUUAUUUCUUGAAUUAAGUAUUAUUAAUAUUAUUAUUACUUAUGGAUUUUUGUUAUGUGAAAUAAUAAACACCUUCCUGUAUAAGCUUCUAUUUGGAUCUUCUGUUACUUGCCAAAAUCAUCCCAACGCAUUCAUACGACAGCCAGUAAAGACAGAAGUAUAAGAAAAUGUGUACAUAUAUAUAUAAAGUGUUGGCUUUCAGGCUAAUUGGCUUUAGGUCCUUUCUGGAUGGACACUCUUCUAAGGAUUCUCUCACACUUGUUUUUUUCCUUUUUCCCUCCCAAGAAUGAACCUGAACACAGGUGUAUUGCUGCCACAGUACAGAUUUCCCCACAUCGAUGCCAUAUUUCAAUAAUGAUUCAUGUACGCUUUUCACAUUAUCUUAUUUAAAACAUUGCAAAGCCCUUGUUACCAUUGGACGGCAGGGCAUGCACUUGAGCAGUGUGGCAGCAGAGCUGGGAAACAUUUCCCCAGCCCAACAGCUCUUAUCUCUGGGGUUCGUGCCAACUGGUUUAGGAGUUGCUCUCAGUUGCUGUCUAUGGCUUCCAACACCCAUCAAAAUUCUCAUUUUCUAAGAGUUGGUUCUAAAUUGCCAUAGUCUUUUUCAAUGUAAUUCCACUUUUGGGACUCCUAAGGAUGUAAUCCCAAGACAAAUCAAUCAAACAACAAAAGCUAUGUUCAGGAAGAUGUUCAUUGCAGUGUUUUAUUAUGAGUAAAAAUUGAAAAUAAUCUAAACUUCUCUCUAGUGAACUAGAAACAAUCUAAACUCAUUUCAGAAGGGAUGACUUGGUCUCAGUAAAACAAUAUAUGACUAUCUGAAAGAAAGGAGAAUUUGGGACAUUUUAUAUCUAAUUCUAAAUUACAUAUAAAAUAAGAAAAUAGUUAAGUAAAUGAUACAUAUAGCUAUUCAGUAGAAUAUUCUGUAGUCAUUAAAAGGAUAGCCAUAAAGAUAUACAACAACAAGGAAAACAGUUAUGAGAUAGCGCAUGUUAAAAACAGGAUAAACGAGCUGGCCCAGUGAUAUACUGGUUAAAUUUGUGUGCUCUGCUUUGGCGCCUUGGGGU